UACAGAGGUCCCGAGCGUUGUCCGAAGUUACUGGGCGUAAAGCGCGCGUAGGCGGUCUCUUAAGUCCGGGGUGAAAGGUUCAGCGCUCAACGCGAACAGUGCCCUGGAGACUGGGGGGACUUGAGUGCGGUAGGGGAGAUUGGAAUUCCUGGUGCAGCGGUGGAAUGCGCAGAUAUCAGGAGGAACACCAAUGGCGAAGGCAGAUCUCUGGGCCGUAACUGACGCUGAGGAGCGAAAGCGUGGGGAGCAAACAGG
This 255-nucleotide ribosomal RNA is filed under the name uncultured bacterium. RNAcentral's name for it is "partial 16S ribosomal RNA". It matches the Rfam family "Bacterial small subunit ribosomal RNA", at positions 524 to 776 of the family's 1533-position model. The record is from RNAcentral.